Molecule: ribosomal RNA, 489 nt
Filed under: uncultured bacterium
Lineage: Bacteria
Description: partial 16S ribosomal RNA
Rfam family: Bacterial small subunit ribosomal RNA
Source: RNAcentral
GACGAACGCUGGCGGCGUGCUUAACACAUGCAAGUCGAACGGUGAAGGGACCAGCUUGCUGGUUCUGGAUGAGUGGCGAACGGGUGAGUAACACAUGAGUAACCUGCCCCCUUCUUCUGGAUAACCGCAUGAAAGUGUGGCUAAUACGGGAUAUUCUGGGUCUGUCGCAUGGCGGGCCCGGGAAAGAUAUUGCUUCGGUGGGGGAUGGGCUCGCGGCCUAUCAGCUUGUUGGUGGGGUGAUGGCCUACCAAGGCGGUGACGGGUAGCCGGCCUGAGAGGGUGGACGGUCACACUGGGACUGAGACACGGCCCAGACUCCUACGGGAGGCAGCAGUGGGGAAUAUUGCACAAUGGGCGCAAGCCUGAUGCAGCGACGCCGCGUGAGGGAUGGAGGCCUUCGGGUUGUAAACCUCUUUCGCCAGUGAAGCAGGCCUGCUCCGUGUGGGUGGGUUGACGGUAGCUGGAUAAGAAGCGCCGGCUAACUACGUG